GCCGGGGUAGCUCAGCCUGGUUAGAGCGCCAGGCUAACCAUCUGGAGAUCGUAUGGGACAGAGGUCGUGGGUUCAAAACCCAUCCCCGGCA
RNAcentral lists this transfer RNA (91 nucleotides) under Nitrososphaerales archaeon. Its description in RNAcentral is "tRNA-Val". It matches the Rfam family "tRNA". From Rfam's summary of the family: Transfer RNA (tRNA) molecules are approximately 80 nucleotides in length. Their secondary structure includes four short double-helical elements and three loops (D, anti-codon, and T loops). The record is from RNAcentral. Lineage: Archaea; Thermoproteati; Nitrososphaerota; Nitrososphaeria; Nitrososphaerales.